GAUGAACGCUGGCGGCGUGCCUAAUACAUGCAAGUCGAGCGAACAGAUAAGGAGCUUGCUCCUUUGACGUUAGCGGCGGACGGGUGAGUAACACGUGGGUAACCUACCUAUAAGACUGGGAUAACUUCGGGAAACCGGAGCUAAUACCGGAUAACAUUUGGAACCGCAUGGUUCUAAAGUGAAAGAUGGUUUUGCUAUCACUUAUAGAUGGACCCGCGCCGUAUUAGCUAGUUGGUAAGGUAACGGCUUACCAAGGCAACGAUACGUAGCCGACCUGAGAGGGUGAUCGGCCACACUGGAACUGAGACACGGUCCAGACUCCUACGGGAGGCAGCAGUAGGGAAUCUUCCGCAAUGGGCGAAAGCCUGACGGAGCAACGCCGCGUGAGUGAUGAAGGGUUUCGGCUCGUAAAGCUCUGUUAUUAGGGAAGAACAAACGUGUAAGUAACUGUGCACGUCUUGACGGUACCUAAUCAGAAAGCCACGGCUAACUACGUG
RNAcentral lists this ribosomal RNA (497 nucleotides) under uncultured bacterium. RNAcentral's name for it is "partial 16S ribosomal RNA". It matches the Rfam family "Bacterial small subunit ribosomal RNA", at positions 28 to 507 of the family's 1533-position model. The record is from RNAcentral.